AGUUAAUUCUCACAAGCCUAUGGGAUAAAUGCUGUUUUUAUUCCUUGUUUUACAGAUGAGGGAACGGAGGCCCAGAGCCGCUAAGCAACUUGCCCCGGGUCCCAGCGCGGGUGAGCAGUGGGUGGAGAUGCUGUCCAGCGUGCCCCACACCUCUGGGUCAGUUACACUGGGCAGUGGGGCUACAAGUGCUGGACACGAGUCACAGCAGGUGCAAGUCCUCAGGACCCAGAGCAGCCUCUCAGAGCUGCCUGCAGCAGGUGGCACCUGGUCACAGGAGAGGACUUCUGCUCCAAGCCACCCCGCUGGAACCCAGGAGCCAGGACAGGGCCCCACCAUGACCAUCUCGCCGGGCAGGUGAGCUCCGGGCACCUUGUUUAUGUGUUGGGUGGACAGCGAUGCCCCUGAGGCAGAGAUCUGGGGGCUCAGGCCCAGUUCCGCCUCGGCUGUGAGGUGCCGGCUGGGCUCUAGGAGGGAGACCCUGCAUGCUUGGGGUCCUCACUGGAGUGGCAGUUCUGGGGAGUUGUAAGCAUCAGCGGUGACCGAAAUCACAGCCCCAAGUGAACUCUUGCCCAGGAAAUCACUGCAACUACAGAAUCCCAGGUCGGCCCGUCUCUCAGGCUCGGUCGCAGAGGCCCCAGGCAGCUUCGUUACGAGGGCAGCAGACAGGCAAGGGCCCUGACG
Molecule: long non-coding RNA, 681 nt
Filed under: Fukomys damarensis (Damara mole-rat)
Lineage: Eukaryota; Metazoa; Chordata; Mammalia; Rodentia; Bathyergidae
Description: lncRNA (ENSFDAG00000024000.1)
Source: RNAcentral